RNAcentral lists this ribosomal RNA (321 nucleotides) under uncultured bacterium. RNAcentral's name for it is "bacterial SSU rRNA". It matches the Rfam family "Bacterial small subunit ribosomal RNA", at positions 64 to 364 of the family's 1533-position model. The record is from RNAcentral.
GAACGAUAUCCGGAGUGUAGCAAUAUAUUCCGGUGACAGUGGCGGAAGGGUGAGUAACGCAUGGGUAACCUGCCCUGAAGUUGGGGAUAACUCGCCGAAAGGUGGGCUAAUACCGAAUGUGGUCGUCCCGCGCAUGCGGGAUCAUCCAAAGCCGGGGACCGCAAGGACCUGGCGCUUCAGGAUGGACCCGUGUCCUAUCAGCUAGUUGGUGAGGUAACGGCUCACCAAGGCUGCGACGGGUAGCUGGUCUGAGAGGAUGGUCAGCCACACUGGGACUGAGACACUGCCCAGACUCCUACGGGAGGCUGCAGUCGAGGAUCA